UCUGGCCCGCCCCUGCCCUUACUCCAUAGAAAGAACCAGCUGUCCUCCCUCCCCCCAGGGAGUGAGCAAACCAGGAAACUUGAUGUUUGUUUUCACUCCCUGCUGCUGCAGCAGAACCUCAAUAAAACCUUGCCUGAAUAUUCCUGUCUGGCCUCUUAUCAAUUUCUAUUGAUUAAGGAGGUCAAGAACUCUGAACAGUAACACAUUAUGUAGAGGAAAUAUACAAAACAGUUUUUUUUCUGUUUCUUUUAAGUAUGCAUAUUAAUAUAUUCACCAGUCAAAAGCGCUUCCCCAGAGGAACAGGAAGCCAGUGUUAGGGAAGAGAAGAGGAAGGAGAAGAGAACUGAUUAGACACUCUCGGUUGAGAUUUCACCUGGAAUCACAGGAAAAGAUCCUGGAUCUUUCCAAAAAGACAAAAGCCCCCAAGAACCUGACUGAAGAACCAGCAGUCUGUGCUGGGUCUGAAUUCACCAUUAGCACCCAGGGUAACCUCAGUCCACAGAAUGUAAGAAGACAAGUGAGGCAAUGUCUGCAGUGUCCAGCGGCCAAACCCGCUCUGCUACAGAAGAAAUACCCCAAUUGUCCUUCCUAAGCAAAAAUUGCCACGAUUCCCCAUAAACACGCAGUUGUCCGUUGACUGAUAUAAAUAGACUUUUUAAUACACAACCAGCUGUCUGAGAGAGUUUAUAACUGUUGACCAAAGACACAGUGGGGAAGGGAAAUGGGAGGUUUCCACAUAGCAGGAGAAGGGCUUGUCUGCAGUGAGUGAGCUUGUACACAGAUCUCCCAUUUAAACUAUGUCAGUGUGCGUGGAUUC
Molecule: long non-coding RNA, 817 nt
Filed under: Sus scrofa (pig)
Lineage: Eukaryota; Metazoa; Chordata; Mammalia; Artiodactyla; Suidae
Description: lncRNA (ENSSSCG00025040566.1)
Source: RNAcentral